Molecule: ribosomal RNA, 122 nt
Filed under: Paramormyrops kingsleyae
Lineage: Eukaryota; Metazoa; Chordata; Actinopteri; Osteoglossiformes; Mormyridae
Source: RNAcentral
CUGACCUGUACCUGGAAACAGCAGCCAUGCCACCUGCAGAUGAGUAUGCUCCAUGUGAAGCUAAGCAGGUUUGGGCUUGGCCAGUACUUGGAUGGAAGGCCAGCUAGGAAAACUGGGUUAGA